UUAUUAAUACGUACCCGCUUUUACGUUCGCCAAAAUGGCGUAUACGCAAAUAAAUGAUUUCAACGUGUAACUUAAAGAAGUUUAAAAGAAAAUGAUAAAGGCAAGACUCGAAGCUUACAGGCGUAAAAAACAUAGAGAAGAAAUGAUAGAAUCGGUUAAAAGUUCGAUAAAAGGUAUUUUAUCGUGGAAUGAAAAUUCUAAUGUAAAUUUAAGACUGUCGAACGACCUACCGAACGAAGAGACGGAAAAGUUAUGCCAGCCUGUUGAAACCACAAACCAAAAAAUAAUAUCUAAAGAAAAAAUAGGGGAUUUAGAGAGUGCAGAUGAUUUAGAUAGUUUGGAAGAUGAGACGGAAGAUAAUGCUCAGUGUCAUUUAUUAUCUAAGUUAAUAUAUUUUCUAUAUUUUUCCCUAUGGAUUGUUUUGUAUAUUAUUGCAGUACAAAUUGAAUUUGGAGCUGUUUAUUUUGUGAUAUCUGCGUUAAUAUUAAUUUGUUUAAAUACGAGAUCGAGACCUAGAAAAAAAGGUGAACUCAGUGCUUAUUCUGUUUUUAAUCCAAAUUGCGAAGCUAUUGAAGGAACCCUCGACGCUUCCCAAUUUGAAAGGGAAAUUAGAUACGGUGCAUCCAGCAUGCAUUGAUACAAAGAUACGAGCAAUUCUUCGAUCAAUCCAAUGCCAUUUACACCAUCACCAAAGAUAGUCAUUCUGGUAGUUAAAAGGGCAAAUUGGAAACCGUAUACAAAAACUUAUAAUAUUAAUAUAGAAUUAGUUGCAUAAAAUAAUUGACUUGUUACAGAGAAUGAAACUUAGAAAGAUAUCGCAAAUUUAUAAGGUAACAAUGCAAAAGUUCCAGAAAUUGAAGAUUUCUUAUUAAAAAAAGAAACAUUUUUUUUUAUCAAUUACAUUUAUACAUAUAAUU
Molecule: unclassified non-coding RNA, 917 nt
Filed under: Polistes fuscatus (common paper wasp)
Lineage: Eukaryota; Metazoa; Arthropoda; Insecta; Hymenoptera; Vespidae
Description: uncharacterized LOC122519483, transcript variant X2
Source: RNAcentral